This 433-nucleotide ribosomal RNA is filed under the name uncultured bacterium. RNAcentral describes it as "partial 16S ribosomal RNA". It matches the Rfam family "Bacterial small subunit ribosomal RNA", at positions 29 to 507 of the family's 1533-position model. The record is from RNAcentral.
AACGAACGCUGGCGGCAUGCCUAACACAUGCAAGUCGAACGAGACCUUCGGGUCUAGUGGCGCACGGGUGCGUAACGCGUGGGAACCUGCCCUUAGGUUCGGAAUAACUCCCCGAAAGGGGUGCUAAUACCGGAUAAUGUCUUCGGACCAAAGAUUUAUCGCCUUUGGAUGGGCCCGCGUUGGAUUAGCUAGUUGGUAGGGUAAAAGCCUACCAAGGCGACGAUCCAUAGCUGGUCUGAGAGGAUGAUCAGCCACACUGGGGCUGCGACACGGCCCAGACUCCGACGGGAGGCAGCAGUGGGGAAUAUUGGACGAUGGGCGAAAGCCUGAUCCAGCAAUGCCGCGUGAGUGGUGAAGGCCUUAGGGUUGUAAAGCUCUUUUACCCGGGAUGAUAAUGACAGUACCGGGAGAAUAAGCUCCGGCUAACUCCGUG